ACCGAAUAUAAACUGAAUUCAGUUCAAAACUCCCAGUGAAAUUGCCUUUCGGGCGGCCACAAUUUCAUCAAUCCGGCCCAAAUUGAUGGGAUCCUGGAGAUUUUUUUUCAGCACCAUGACAAACGAUGAAGUUGACCAAAAGUCAGUGACAGUCAGAAUUCCUCGAGAAAAAUGAAAUAAACACACCCUUCGUAUUUCCGGCGCGUCGAGACACGAGAUAUAAAUAGACUCAGGGCGUGUACUGAAAUUUUCACGACGUCCCUGGGAUGCAAUUUAACCGUUAGAAAACCGCAGUUGGAGGAGGAUGCAAGGCCAAUAACCGGAGGGACUCUGCCAGACCGAAUCCCCAUGGAGAACAAAAACAUCUGCCUCUUUAGAUCUCUCGUGAUUCUUUUGAAAAUCCUCGUCUACUUUGUUUUUUUUAGUUUAGAAAAUGCAACUUCAUGCAAUUAAACCGGGGGGGAUUUGUCGCAAGGUUUUUUCUUUUUUUUUAGCCCAGAUCGACUGUCUUGGGAUGCAGGCGGGGGUUGAAUAUUGCUGUUUACUUCGUGGAACGAAGCAUCAAUUGAAUUUAGUUUAUCGGGGAGUGACGUCACUCCGGCACCGAGCGAAUACCAUUUAUGGCGGUGAGGUCAUGCCGAUGAAGGAUUUCUUCGGGUUUUCUUGGUGAUACCCACGCGACGACAAUCGCUCUAUUUAGGUUUUUUCAAGUCUAGGGGAUUUAUUUUGAAGCAGAGGCACUUGUAGAGGACAAUUUACAAUGAAAAAGUAUAUUUCAGUUUCGAAUGUCAAAAUUUACUGUUAAUCACAUUCAAAAUUCGAUCGAGAUCCACGAAAUGUUUAUUUUUUUGGCAGUCCUCAAUUCAUGCUCAUAUUGUUAUGUUGAAUAACAACAAGUUUUGACAGAAACCGACAAGACGUUUCCGAUGAAACUUAUUGAUAAAAAUUGUCGUCAUUCGUCAUGAAGUUUUUCGUUUAUUUGUUUUAUUUCAUUCAAAUGUCCCCAUGAAUUAAUCGAUCGUUAAAGUCCCAGAAACGUUGGAAACCUCGUUAAAAUGUUUUUCUCGAAACGAUGUCAAUGACAUUAAAGUCAAAUUAAAAUUCACUUUCAAACGAAUGACAUUUUUCAAUCUUUCCGGUAUGACAUCGAAUUAAAGCUCUGUUUCAAUUGGAAAAUGAUAAAAAGAUAAAAUAAAAUGUGAAAAGAUGUUCUAUGAAAAAACUCCAAGUCUUUUUCCUAAUUUUAAUUAUUUAAUUACCACCUAUUGAUUUUGUUAAAUAACAUUGGCUGCAGUCUACUUCUGCAGUUUCGACUCGCCCGUGUCUUUCUUGCCCAAACAGUCUCAUUAAUUGCCGGCCGUGGCUAUUCACGUAUGGCAAAAACGAGUUUCGAUAGGUGCAGCAAGAAUCCGCCAAAUAAGGCAAGAGAAACCAUGACGAAAUCGCUGAAGGAGAGUAGGCCGAGGGAUCAUUCGCCCACGACGAGAGGAAACCGUGUCUAAAUGACGUCUAAUGGAGGAUGUGUACUGGAGACAAAAGCAUUGUUUGUACUCAAUUGCUGGUUUAGAAUCUGAUCUGAUGGUUCGUCCAGACACCCGCCCACAAUGAGGUUUCCGAGCGAUGGGGACACGCGUGGAAAUUCCAGAAUACAUCAGACAACAUUUUAAAUAAGAGGAUGUUCGUAAGAAAAAUUACCUGAAAACGGCAACCGCUGGAAUCCACAAAACUGAAGCACUAAUCAGCACAGC
This is a long non-coding RNA of Diachasmimorpha longicaudata, 1748 nucleotides long. RefSeq lists it as uncharacterized. The transcript is spliced from 4 exons. The record is from RefSeq and is a predicted model, not a curated record. NCBI's taxonomy places the organism in Eukaryota, Metazoa, Arthropoda, Insecta, Hymenoptera, Braconidae.